This 447-nucleotide ribosomal RNA is filed under the name uncultured bacterium. RNAcentral's name for it is "bacterial SSU rRNA". It matches the Rfam family "Bacterial small subunit ribosomal RNA", at positions 329 to 793 of the family's 1533-position model. The record is from RNAcentral.
ACCCAGACUCCUACGGGAGGCAGCAGUGGGGAAUAUUGCACAAUGGGGGAAACCCUGAUGCAGCGACGCCGCGUGAGUGAAGAAGUAAUUCGUUAUGUAAAGCUCUAUCAGCAGGGAAGAAAAUGACGGUACCUGAGUAAGAAGCCCCGGCUAACUACGUGCCAGCAGCCGCGGUAAUACGUAGGGGGCAAGCGUUAUCCGGAUUUACUGGGUGUAAAGGGAGCGUAGACGGCCAUGCAAGCCAGGGGUGAAAGCCCGGGGCCCAACCCCGGGACUGCCCUUGGAACUGCAUGGCUGGAGUGCGGGAGGGGCAGGCGGAAUUCCUGGUGUAGCGGUGAAAUGCGUAGAUAUCAGGAGGAACACCGGGGGCGAAGGCGGCUUGCUGGACUGAAACUGACGCUGAGGCUCGAAAGCGUGGGGAGCAAACAGGAUUAGAUACCCUAGUAU